UGAUGUGUGAAUGUAGGCUAAAGUAUCACAACACAGUGCACCUUGAUAUGUGAAUGUAGGCUAAAUUAUCACAAUACGGUGCACCUUGAUAUGUGAAUGUAAGCUAAAGUAUCACAACACAGUGCACCUUGAUAUGUGAAUGUAGGCUAAAUUAUUACAACACAGUGCUCUUUGAUAUGUGAAUGUAGGUUAAAUUAUCACAGCACAGUGCACCUUGAUAUGUGAAUGUGGGCUAAAUUAUCACAGUACGGUGCAUCUUGAUAUGUGAAUGUGGGCUAAAGAAUCACAACACAGUGCACCUUGAUAUGUGAAUGUAAGCUAAAGUAUCACAACACAGUGCACCUUGAUAUGUGAAUGUAGGCUAAAUUAUUACAACACAGUGCUCUUUGAUAUGUGAAUGUAGGCUAAAUUAUCACAGCACAGUGCACCUUGAUAUGUGAAUGUAGGCUAAAUUAUCACAA
RNAcentral lists this long non-coding RNA (461 nucleotides) under Haliotis rubra (blacklip abalone). RNAcentral's name for it is "uncharacterized LOC124273402, transcript variant X2". Lineage: Eukaryota; Metazoa; Mollusca; Gastropoda; Lepetellida; Haliotidae. The record is from RNAcentral.